This 504-nucleotide ribosomal RNA is filed under the name Marmessoidea quadriguttata. Its description in RNAcentral is "partial large subunit ribosomal RNA". The record is from RNAcentral. Lineage: Eukaryota; Metazoa; Arthropoda; Insecta; Phasmatodea; Lonchodidae.
CCUGAAUUCGAAAGGGACCGGAUUCAAGUCUUACCGAGUGUCCGGGGCGUCCCCGCCAGAUGGUGCCGGUCGCCCGCUAGCGAUUCACUUCGCUUGCGGUGUCGUUCCCGGCGAUCACUCGGCGGUUUCAGGCACGCAUUCCCGGUUCCGGAGGGCCGCACUUCCUCCCUAGUAGAAACGUCGCGACCCGUUGGGUGCCGGUCCAAGGCCCUGGGAUGGCAGCCCGCGCGUCCCGUGGGGGUUCUCACGGGCGCGCGGACUCUCGGUGACCCGGCCGGCUGCCCGACGGUAGGACCAGAGGAGUCGAUCCGCUUGAACAUGAGAAACACUGUGAGUGUGUAGCGUCCGGCCCGGCGCCGGGGCGUGCGGGGAUUAACGGUGUUAAAAAGCCGGGGGUGUCCGUGCGAAGCACGGCCCCGGCCCCGCCGCGUCCCCGGAAUGUCCGGUGUCCUCGGACAGGAUCAGCACUCCCGUCAGCGACGACCACCUUCGGAUGGUCUCCCG